This 278-nucleotide ribosomal RNA is filed under the name uncultured bacterium. Its description in RNAcentral is "partial 16S ribosomal RNA". It matches the Rfam family "Bacterial small subunit ribosomal RNA", at positions 335 to 604 of the family's 1533-position model. The record is from RNAcentral.
CGUCCUACGGGGCGCAACAGUAGGGAAUCUUCGGCAAUGGACGAAAGUCUGACCGAGCAACGCCGCGUGAGUGAAGAAGGUUUUCGGAUCGUAAAACUCUGUUGGUAGAGAAGAACGUUGGUGAGAGCGGAAAGCUCAUCAAGUGACGGUAACUACCCAGAAAGGGACGGCUAACUACGUGCCAGCAGCCGCGGUAAUACGUAGGUCCCGAGCGUUGUCCGGAUUUAGUGGGCGUAAAGCGAGCGCAGGUGGUUUAUUAAGUCUGGUGGAAAAGUCAG